Molecule: small nuclear RNA, 107 nt
Filed under: Phascolarctos cinereus (koala)
Lineage: Eukaryota; Metazoa; Chordata; Mammalia; Diprotodontia; Phascolarctidae
Source: RNAcentral
AUGCUUGCUUCGGCAGCACACGUACUAAAAUUACAACGAUACAGAAAAGAUUAGCAUGGCCCCUGGGCAAGAAUGACAUGCAAAUUCGUGAAGUAUUCUGUAUUUUA